RNAcentral lists this ribosomal RNA (603 nucleotides) under uncultured bacterium. Its description in RNAcentral is "bacterial SSU rRNA". The stretch from base 1 to 514 matches the Rfam family "Bacterial small subunit ribosomal RNA", at positions 338 to 873 of the family's 1533-position model. The record is from RNAcentral.
CCUACGGGAGGCAGCAGUGGGGAAUAUUGGACAAUGGGCGAAAGCCUGAUCCAGCAAUGCCGCGUGAGUGAUGAAGGCCUUAGGGUUGUAAAGCUCUUUUACCCGGGAUGAUAAUGACAGUACCGGGAGAAUAAGCUCCGGCUAACUCCGUGCCAGCAGCCGCGGUAAUACGGAGGGAGCUAGCGUUAUUCGGAAUUACUGGGCGUAAAGCGCACGUAGGCGGCUUUGUAAGUAGAGGUGAAAGCCUGGUGCUCAACACCAGAACUGCCUUUUAGACUGCAUCGCUUGAAUCCAGGAGAGGUGAGUGGAAUUCCGAGUGUAGAGGUGAAAUUCGUAGAUAUUCGGAAGAACACCAGUGGCGAAGGCGGCUCACUGGACUGGUAUUGACGCUGAGGUGCGAAAGCGUGGGGAGUAAACAGGAUUAGAUACCCUGGUAGUCCACGCCGUAAACGAUGAUAACUAGCUGUCGGGGCUCUUAGAGCUUCGGUGCGCNGCUACGCAUAAGUUAUCCGCCGUGGGAGGUACGGCCGCGAACGGUUAAACGUAACGUAAGGUAAGUAGUUAGGCGUGAGACGUGCCGACGGACGACGACGAGGGAGGAGG